Molecule: non-coding RNA, 346 nt
Organism: Otolemur garnettii (small-eared galago)
Lineage: Eukaryota; Metazoa; Chordata; Mammalia; Primates; Galagidae
Source: Rfam
UUUUGGGGCGGUGUUUACCGGCUCUUCUUCUCUGCCUCCGCCCUGCUCUUGGCUGGGCUUUAAGGCUCUUCUGUUUUCCAGCCAGACCCAGAAAAACGAAAACACAGUUUGGGGAGCCCCCACUAGCUGGCGCCUGUGCCAGCUCAUCUCUGGCCAUCGCGCAGCUCCGGGUGCACACAGGGGCCAAGGCCAGCUCCGCAUUCUUCCCCCCCUCCCACUUCUCUGGAGCCCCGAACCCAGCAGAAGAAGAGCUUCAGCUCCAUAGGCUGCCAGAGUCGACUGGGUCCCUCCUCACCAAAAAUGGUGAGAUGAGAUUUCGUCUUGUCCGCUGAAGAGCCACACGCAG